AAAUCAUUUUUACUUGUUUUAGUAGGGGAGACAGAAUAGAACAGGGUAAUGCGGCGAUAGAUAAUGAAUGGUAACGUGAGUGGCAGUUAAAAACAGGAAGAAAACAGUAAUGAGUGUUCGUACCUUUUGCAUCAUGGUUUUACAACUUUUUAUGCUAAGGGGGUGUCCCGAAAGCUUGGUGAUCUACCCUUUUACAGUUGGGUUAACGUUUUAUGGUUAUCCAAAGAUAGGGGGAUAGUGGCGAAAUACUUUUCGCAUUGGCUGAUAGCUGGUUAUUUUGGAAAUAUAUUCUACGUAUAGCCCUUUUUGGGACAGGUUCUACAUUUAUAGUUGUUUCUGUUUUCUAAAAGGAGAUGGCUCUUUCAGGAUCAGCUGGGAGGGCGCUUAAAAAGGAUGGUUGGUGGAGUGUUGGGUUAGUAAGUGGGCUUGAAGAAGUUAUCUUUAGGGAGUGGGUUAUACCUCAAUCAGGCUCUUGAUGUAAAUAAUAAUAAAUUUUUCUUUAGGUUGUACAGAAUUUUCCUACGAAACUGCGGUAGUAGGAGUGAUAGUGUAAAUAUGAGUAGUCGAGAUGGUUGUUUUUGUUUUCUUGUUCUAGAAGAAAAGCUAGUAAGGGGGUGAUGAUUGGUAAACAAAGCUAAAGGAACUCGGCAAAAUAGGAGACCGCCUGUUUAUCAAAAACAUGGCUUUCUGAAAAGCAUAGGGAGUCGUGCCUUCCCAGUGGGCAUACGAGCCUAAACGGACGCGGUAAAUCGUGCUAAGGUAGCUAAGUUAUGGCCUAUUAAUUGUAGGUCUUGUGAAUGGUUUGACGAGCCUCCAACUGUCUCUAGGUUGUUUUGGUGAACUUGAGUUGAAUGUGUAAAUGCCUUCGUGGGUAAGAAAGACGAGAAGACCCCGUGAAGUUAAAAAUUUUAGCGUAUGGAGUGUUAUUCCCUGUUGGUGAAGGCUAGAGGGUUAAGGGAUUUGGUUGGUUUCUAAGUGAGGGGGUGUAGUGAAUGGUUUUUGCUGGGGCAGCAAAAGGGCAAAUUUAGACCUUAAUUGUAUUUAAAACGGGUGCGUUACGACCCAUAAUUAAAAAGGUGUGAUUAGCAGAAGGAGUUACUCCGGGGAUAACAGCGUUAUUCGUCCUGAGAGUUCUUAUUGGUGGACGGGUUUGCGACCUCGAUGUUGGCUCUGGAUAUCCUGGGGCUUGCAGGCGGUCCCAAGGGUUGGUUCGUUCGCCCAUUAAAAUCCGACGUGAGCUGAGUUCAGAUCGGCGAAAGUUAGGUCGGUUUCUAUCUUCUUUCUACUGAGUGGGGUCUUUGGGUACGAAAGGACAUUUGAUCUUAGGUUUUGGUCUGUUUUAAUGAAUGAAAAUAAUGAUCGUGUAAGGGGUGAGGGUUAUUUGUUU
Molecule: ribosomal RNA, 1387 nt
Filed under: Placopecten magellanicus (sea scallop)
Lineage: Eukaryota; Metazoa; Mollusca; Bivalvia; Pectinida; Pectinidae
Description: 16S ribosomal RNA
Rfam family: Bacterial large subunit ribosomal RNA
Source: RNAcentral